This 479-nucleotide ribosomal RNA is filed under the name Neisseria flava. RNAcentral describes it as "bacterial SSU rRNA". It matches the Rfam family "Bacterial small subunit ribosomal RNA", at positions 30 to 490 of the family's 1533-position model. Lineage: Bacteria; Pseudomonadati; Pseudomonadota; Betaproteobacteria; Neisseriales; Neisseriaceae. The record is from RNAcentral.
AUUGAACGCUGGCGGCAUGCUUUACACAUGCAAGUCGGACGGCAGCACAGAGAAGCUUGCUUCUUGGGUGGCGAGUGGCGAACGGGUGAGUAACAUAUCGGAACGUACCGAGCAGUGGGGGAAUAACUAAUCGAACACACCAUUAGCUAAUACCGCAUAUUUUCUGAGGAAGAAAGCAGGGGACCAUUUGGCCUUGCGCUGUUUGAGCGGCCGAUAUCUGAUUAGCUAGUUGGUGGGGUAAAGGCCUACCAAGGCGACGAUCAGUAGCGGGUCUGAGAGGAUGAUCCGCCACACUGGGACUGAGACACGGCCCAGACUCCUACGGGAGGCAGCAGUGGGGAAUUUUGGACAAUGGGCGCAAGCCUGAUCCAGCCAUGCCGCGUGUCUGAAGAAGGCCUUCGGGUUGUAAAGGACUUUUGUCAGGGAAGAAAAGGGCGGGGUUAAUACCCCUGUCUGAUAACGGUACCCUGAAGAAUAAG